AUACGUAGGGUGCAAGCGUUAAUCGGAAUUACUGGGCGUAAAGCGUGCGCAGGCGGUUUUGUAAGACAGUGGUGAAAUCCCCGGGCUCAACCUGGGAACUGCCAUUGUGACUGCAAGGCUGGAGUGCGGCAGAGGGGGAUGGAAUUCCGCGUGUAGCAGUGAAAUGCGUAGAUAUGCGGAGGAACACCGAUGGCGAAGGCAAUCCCCUGGGCCUGCACUGACGCUCAUGCACGAAAGCGUGGGGAGCAAACAGGAUUAGAUACCCUGGUAGUCCACGCCCUAAACGAUGUCAACUGGUUGUUGGGGAUUUAUUUUCUCAGUAACGAAGCUAACGCGUGAAGUUGACCGCCUGGGGAGUACGGCCGCAAGGUUAAAACUCAGAUGAAUUGACGGGG
RNAcentral lists this ribosomal RNA (395 nucleotides) under uncultured bacterium. RNAcentral describes it as "partial 16S ribosomal RNA". It matches the Rfam family "Bacterial small subunit ribosomal RNA", at positions 523 to 918 of the family's 1533-position model. The record is from RNAcentral.